GGCGGCGUGCCUAAUACAUGCAAGUCGAGCGGACCGACGGGAGCUUGCUCCCUUAGGUCAGCGGCGGACGGGUGAGUAACACGUGGGUAACCUGCCUGUAAGACUGGGAUAACUCCGGGAAACCGGGGCUAAUACCGGAUGCUUGAUUGAACCGCAUGGUUCAAUYAUAAAAGGUGGCUUUUAGCUACCACUUUCCGAUGGACCCGCGGCGCAUUAGCUAGUUGGUGAGGUAACGGCUCACCAAGGGGACGAUGCGUAACCGACCUGAGAGGGUGAUCGGCCACACUGGGACUGAGACACGGCCCAGACUCCUACGGGAGGCAGCAGUAGGGAAUCUUCCGCAAUGGACGAAAGUCUGACGGAGCAACGCCGCGUGAGUGAUGAAGGUUUUCGGAUCGUAAAACUCUGUUGUUAGGGAAGAACAAGUACCGUUCGAAUAGGGCGGCACCUUGACGGUACCUAACCAGAAAGCCACGGCUAACUACGUGCCAGCAGCCGCGGUAAUACGUAGGUGGCAAGCGUUGUCCGGAAUUAUUGGGCGUAAAGCGCGCGCAGGCGGUUUCUUAAGUCUGAUGUGAAAGCCCCCGGCUCAACCGGGGAGGGUCAUUGGAAACUGG
This 617-nucleotide ribosomal RNA is filed under the name Bacillus aerius. RNAcentral describes it as "bacterial SSU rRNA". It matches the Rfam family "Bacterial small subunit ribosomal RNA", at positions 38 to 636 of the family's 1533-position model. Lineage: Bacteria; Bacillati; Bacillota; Bacilli; Caryophanales; Bacillaceae. The record is from RNAcentral.